UAGCGAAAUUCCUUGUCGGGUAAGUUCCGACCCGCACGAAAGGCGUAACGAUUUGGGCACUGUCUCAACAACAGACUGGGUGAAAUUGUAAUACCGGUGAAGAUGCCGGUUACCUGCGACAGGACGGAAAGACCCCAUGGAGCUUUACUGUAGCUUGACAUUGAGUCUCGGUGCUACAUGUACAGGAUAGGUGGGAGGCUAUGAAGCAUGGACGUCAGUCUGUGUGGAGCCAUCCUUGGGAUACCACCCUUGUAGUACUGGGAUUCUAACCAGCUGCCUUGAAUCAGGUAGUGGGACACUGUCAGGUGGACAGUUUGACUGGGGCGGUCGCCUCCUAAAGAGUAACGGAGGCGCUCAAAGGUUCUCUCAGUACGGUCGGAAAUCGUACGUAGAGUGUAAAGGCAGAAGAGAGCUUGAUUGCAAGACAUACAGGUCGAGCAAGGACGAAAGUCGGACUUAGUGAUCCGGUGGUACCGCAUGGAAGGGCCAUCGCUCAACGGAUAAAAGCUACCCUGGGGAUAACAGGCUGAUCUCCCCCAAGAGUCCACAUCGACGGGGAGGUUUGGCACCUCGAUGUCGGCUCAUCACAUCCUGGGGCUGUAGUAGGUCCCAAGGGUUGGGCUGUUCGCCCAUUAAAGUGGUACGCGAGCUGGGUUCAGAACGUCGUGAGACAGUUCGGUCCCUAUCCGUCGCAGGCGUAGGAAAUUUGAGGAGACCUGUCCUUAGUACGAGAGGACCGGGAUGGACGUACCGCUGGUGUACCAGUUGUUCUGCCAAGGGCAUAGCUGGGUAGCUAAGUACGGAAAGGAUAAGCGCUGAAAGCAUCUAAGCGCGAAGCCUACUUCGAGAUAAGAUUUCCCACCGUAAGGUUAAGACCCCAUGAAGACUACAUGGUUGAUAGGUCAGAGGUGGAAGUGUGGUAACAUAUGUAGCUUACUGAUACUAAUAGGUCGAGGACUUGACCAA
This 966-nucleotide ribosomal RNA is filed under the name human gut metagenome. RNAcentral describes it as "bacterial LSU rRNA". It matches the Rfam family "Bacterial large subunit ribosomal RNA", at positions 1957 to 2925 of the family's 2925-position model. The record is from RNAcentral.